CUGUGGGGAUGGGGAUGUGGUUUCCAGGCCAAUGGAGUUAUGUCACCAGGAAGGUUAUGACUGCCUCUGCUGUGUCACACAGGUCAUGAGGGAAGUGAGGGAAAAUCAGCAGACAGGGGCCUCACCCAACUCCCACAUAGCCCACAGCCUGAAAAGCUGGUCUUUCUCCCACUGUGGCCCCUCAACAGCACUGAGUUUAUUUCCAGGCAGCCAGUGAGCAAGGCUGAGAACUUGCCCCAGGCUACCGGACUCCCAGCUGAGAAAGCAAGCCGACUCAACAGUUCCUCAGCUGUCCCACAGAGCCUGAAGCAGCAAUCCACCUACUUCAAAGGGUCUAUGGAUUCUCUCAGCUUUCCUGGCAUGUUCCUGUGGUGGAAAAUGCAAUCUGGAGUGUUCCUGGGGAGCUCUGCUGUGUAAACCUUGGCUUUACAGUGAGAAGACGGGCUGAUCACAGAUGUGAACCGUCAGGUAACCAGGGCUGCAGUGAGAGCCACAGAUUUCAUGGGAAGUGGAAGAGGAGAUGGAAAGAGAGUCUUGCUGUGUCACCCAGGCUGGAAUGCAGUGUCACGAUCUCAGCUCCCUGCAACCUCUGCUUCCUGGGUUCAAGCGAUUCUCCUGCCUCAGUCUCCUGAGUAGCUGGGAUCACAGCCUCUGGGGAGCUAUAGUUUACCCACAGCCAGAACAUUUCCCGGUUUGACUGUUCUCUUGGGUUCAAGGCUGGGUGAGAGGGGAGUCCUCAUCAAGUCCACAACAUGAGUUCCUGCUACAAAACCAGAACCCCCAGGGCGCAGCCUUGGGUAUGGACUCUGCAUCCUCGGAGAUCCGGUCUGCUGUUGCUACCAACCCAUAAGCGACAGCCAAUUGAUUGAUCAGUGAAGCCUUCCAGGAAGUUCUCCAGCCAAUGCUGCCCAGUCCUCUUUCAGAGAUAAAACCUAACGAGGAUUGAAAGAUGGUUAGCAUGUAGUGUGAGGAAAUUCCCAGAAUGUUAAUGGCUCCUAAUAGCAAUAAGUUUCCAGAGAAAGCCCAUAGACUGGACAAGCAUUUAUGUGUUCCUAAACUUGG
RNAcentral lists this long non-coding RNA (1062 nucleotides) under Homo sapiens (human). RNAcentral describes it as "HSALNT0340765". The record is from RNAcentral. Lineage: Eukaryota; Metazoa; Chordata; Mammalia; Primates; Hominidae.